AGCAUGGCCCAGACGAAUGCUACUUUAACAGUAUAGAAGCCUGUGCAAUCCACCUCUGGUCAGACGUGAAGCGGCAUUUCAAGUUCAAUCAUUGUCUUGAGAGUAAACUUAUUGAAGGACUGCAGUCCUCGAAAAAAAAUGCUUGGGAAUCUUGUUGUGUAAAACUUAAGAUGGAUUCGGAUCGUUUGGGAAAGUGCUACCGCAGUGGAUAUGAGAAGAAGCAGCUUAUACUUCAAAAUGCUAAAGAAACAGACCACCUUGUUCCGCCUCAUGAGUACGUACCAUGGGUGGUUGUUAAUGGACAACUGCUAAAGGAUGAUUACCUAAAUUUUGUGAGGUAUGUCUGCAACGCUUACAAAGACAGUCCGAAACCAAUGGCUUGCAGAUCAUAUCCACACAACAUCAAUUCAGGUGGAAAGGCAAACUCGAGCCUAGAAGGAUGCUAUAAAGGUGAAGAACGCGGGGGGAGCUGAAACACUUCAGUCUGAUUCAAUAUGGUGGUUCUGCAUCAUCCAUUAAUUUGCUCUGGGGAGCAUU
Molecule: long non-coding RNA, 537 nt
Organism: Rosa chinensis
Lineage: Eukaryota; Viridiplantae; Streptophyta; Magnoliopsida; Rosales; Rosaceae
Exons: 4
Source: RefSeq, a predicted model, not a curated record